RNAcentral lists this ribosomal RNA (247 nucleotides) under uncultured bacterium. Its description in RNAcentral is "partial 16S ribosomal RNA". It matches the Rfam family "Bacterial small subunit ribosomal RNA", at positions 333 to 572 of the family's 1533-position model. The record is from RNAcentral.
CGGUGCCUACGGGAGGCAGCAGUAGGGAAUCUUCCACAAUGGGCGAAAGCCUGAUGGAGCAACGCCGCGUGGGUGAAGAAGGACUUCGGACCGUAAAACCCUGUUGUUAGAGAAGAAAGUGCGUGAGAGUAACUGUUCACGUUUCGACGGUAUCUAACCAGAAAGCCACGGCUAACUACGUGCCAGCAGCCGCGGUAAUACGUAGGUGGCAAGCGUUAUCCGGAUUUAUUGGGCGUAAAGGGAACGC